UUUGGAACCGGUGUCUCCUCA
Molecule: non-coding RNA, 21 nt
Filed under: Arabidopsis thaliana (thale cress)
Lineage: Eukaryota; Viridiplantae; Streptophyta; Magnoliopsida; Brassicales; Brassicaceae
Source: RNAcentral